CCUACGGGUGGCUGCAGUGGGGAAUAUUGCACAAUGGGCGCAAGCCUGAUGCAGCCAUGCCGCGUGUGUGAAGAAGGCCUUCGGGUUGUAAAGCACUUUCAGCGGGGAGGAAGGCGGUGAGGUUAAUAACCUCAUCGAUUGACGUUACCCGCAGAAGAAGCACCGGCUAACUCCGUGCCAGCAGCCGCGGUAAUACGGAGGGUGCAAGCGUUAAUCGGAAUUACUGGGCGUAAAGCGCACGCAGGCGGUCUGUCAAGUCGGAUGUGAAAUCCCCGGGCUCAACCUGGGAACUGCAUUCGAAACUGGCAGGCUAGAGUCUUGUAGAGGGGGGUAGGAUUCCAGGUGUAGCGGUGAAAUGCGUAGAGAUCUGGAGGAAUACCGGUGGCGAGGGCGGCCCCCUGGACAAAGACUGACGCUCAGGUGCGAAAGCGUGGGGAGCAAACAGGAUUAGAUACCCGUGUAGUC
Molecule: ribosomal RNA, 465 nt
Filed under: uncultured Klebsiella sp.
Lineage: Bacteria; Pseudomonadati; Pseudomonadota; Gammaproteobacteria; Enterobacterales; Enterobacteriaceae
Description: bacterial SSU rRNA
Rfam family: Bacterial small subunit ribosomal RNA
Source: RNAcentral